UAGAUACCCUGGUAGUCCACGCCGUAAACGAUGUCAACUAGCCGUUGGAAGCCUUGAGCUUUUAGUGGCGCAGCUAACGCAUUAAGUUGACCGCCUGGGGAGUACGGCCGCAAGGUUAAAACUCAAAUGAAUUGACGGGGACCCGCACAAGCGGUGGAUGAUGUGGAUUAAUUCGAUGCAACGCGAAGAACCUUACCAGGCCUUGACAUCCAAUGAACUUUCCAGAGAUGGAUUGGUGCCUUCGGGAACA
RNAcentral lists this ribosomal RNA (250 nucleotides) under uncultured bacterium. RNAcentral's name for it is "partial 16S ribosomal RNA". It matches the Rfam family "Bacterial small subunit ribosomal RNA", at positions 779 to 1028 of the family's 1533-position model. The record is from RNAcentral.